This 753-nucleotide ribosomal RNA is filed under the name Triticum aestivum (bread wheat). RNAcentral's name for it is "partial small subunit ribosomal RNA". Lineage: Eukaryota; Viridiplantae; Streptophyta; Magnoliopsida; Poales; Poaceae. The record is from RNAcentral.
AUGGUUUGUUUCCUGGGUUUCUUCGUGCCCGCCCCCUCCCUUGCGUCGUCCUCCAACGACACCGACUUCCUCCGCUGCAUCUCGACGAGCGUCCCCAGCCAGCUCGUGCAGACGCCGAACUCACCGUCGUUCAGGCAGCUCCUGGUGUCGUCCAUCAGGAACGCCAGGUUCGUGGCGCCGGCCACGGCGAGCCCCCCGCUCUGCAUCGUGACGCCCACCAACGCGUCCCACGUCCAGGCCGCCGUGCGCUGCGGGCGCCGUCACGGCGUGCGCGUCCGCGUCCGCAGCGGCGGGCACGACUACGAGGGCCUCUCCUACCGGUCGGUCCACCCCAACAGCGAGGCGUUCGCGGGGGAUCUCUACUACCACGUCGCCACGGCGGAUCCGAGGCUGGGCUUCCCGGCUGGCGUGUGCUCGACCGUGGGCUUGGGGGGCCUCUUCAGCGGCGGCGGCAUGGGCCUAAUGAUGCGCAAGUACGGCCUCUCCGCCGACAACGUUCUCGACGCCGCCAUGGUCGACGCCUACGGGAAUCUGCUGGCCGACAAGAAGGCCAUGGGGGACGACCUCUUCUGGGCCAUCCGGCAUCGUGCUGUCAUGGAAGGUGAGGCUCGUGCCAGUCCCACCGACGGUGACCUUCUUCAAACUCGCCAAGACCAUGGACCAGGGCGCCGUCAACGCGGUGACCAAAUGGCAAACGCUCGCGCCCGCGCUCCCGGACGACCUCACCAUACGUGUUAUCGUAGAAAAUCGUAG